This 1212-nucleotide long non-coding RNA is filed under the name Citrus x clementina. RNAcentral's name for it is "Citrus clementina (C. clementina) long non-coding RNA (CCLE_LNC000972)". Lineage: Eukaryota; Viridiplantae; Streptophyta; Magnoliopsida; Sapindales; Rutaceae. The record is from RNAcentral.
ACAACAUCUACUUCAUAGUAAUAAUAGACUGGAAAAUAAUAAACAAAAUAUGAAAAUUAUUAAUUCUAAUCUUGAUGCAACACAGAUUAUAGAUUGAAAAAACAUCACGACCAAUCAAUUCGAUUAAACUCUAAUUUACAAGCCUAAUUCAAAAAUAAAUUGAGAAUAAAACCUACAGCUUGAAGAUUCAGGUGGUGAAGAAAAGGAAUGACAGCAAUGGUUGAUGAGUUGUAGUGUUAGACACCACAGUGGUGGUUGAGCUAGGGUGUCUCGUGGCAAAGCCAGUUGGCACCUAUAGUGGUGGUGAUAGAGCAAAGUUGGCCAGACAUAUUUAUUGUUGGAGAGAUCAGCAUCGAGAGUUUUUGUUGGUGGAGAAAUCAGCAAUUAAAGUUUUUGCAAGUGGAGAGAUUGGCAAUGAUCGAUGGUAGAUGAGUUCUUCGAAUUUUUAUUUUUUAGAUAGUAAUAAACCUGCAUAAACCCAACACCCUCUUGGUUUUACUUAAUGUUGGCAUUACUGCAUUUUAAUUUCGUCUGAUACAAUAUCUAACAAAAGCCAAACAUGGUAUAUAAUUAAUUUAAUGCAAUACUAAGUCCCAAUACAACAUUAUGAGGGGUGCCAAAUGUGCCCUUAUGGAUCAACUUGUAGAUGGUAUGUUUUGUAAAGUUUUAAUUUAAGUUUAUUUUUUAAGUUAUAUGAACCUUAUUCAAUUUGUUCAAUUUUUUAGCGUCUAGAACUUCAAAAAUCAACAAUGGCCGACCAACUUGGUAUUUCAACAUGAAAACUUCUAUUCAUUAUAAUAAAAUUUAGGUAAUAAAAUUAAUAUACAUCCACUUGUUAGUUAUUAAAUGUCACUUUAUUUUAUUUAGUUUAAUUGUUGGGUGCUUGGUUCACUUUGAUAUAGGUAACAUGGAUGGUGGAUAUAGUUGUGGCUUGUGUGUUAUUAUGGAGUUUUGUCAAAUGUUUAAGCAAUAUCAAUGGUAAUAUGAUAUUGCAGACUUUUGUUUUUGUUUUUGUUAUCAUGGAUUUAUAAUUGGGAAAAUAUCCACCGUCCACCCGUUUUUGACACCUUUUUCAAAAAUACACAAUUCUUUCAUUUUUUUGCUGGAAUCCACCUAAAGUUACAUUUUGUUUCACUUUUCCACUUCCGUUUGAAAUCCGUUAAGAAAACUAACGGAAAAUUAAUAAAAUGACCAUUUUACCCCCAAAACAAA